UGCAUUCACUACUGUAAGUCGCUUUGGAUAAGAGCGUCUGCUAAAUGACGUAAA
Molecule: non-coding RNA, 54 nt
Organism: Salmo salar (Atlantic salmon)
Lineage: Eukaryota; Metazoa; Chordata; Actinopteri; Salmoniformes; Salmonidae
Source: Rfam